CACCGCCAGUGGCAGGCUGAAGCCGGCUGAAGCGGAUUUCUAACCGCCUGCUCGGAGCGGUAGAAAACGCAGCCAGACUACAGAGGAGAAUUAACGUUUUUAACCAAAAUGAAGUGAAAAAAGGACAACAUGUCCUAUUUCGCCCCCCAAUGUAAAACCGAGAAAGAGCGUGAGACAAAGCCAGAUGGUCCAGAUGUUGAGGGAACAGAAGAGGAAAAGUAGGAAGUGGAAACUGAGGGAAGGACAGAGGACUGAGUAGAAGAAGAGAUGUACAGGGAGAGACUGAUUUUGAUCAGGAAGAAGAGAUGGAUUCUGAUGUUGUGGCUGAGGGUGAUGCAGGCAGAAGAUACAAGUGCAUCCACAAGCAAUGGACCAUCAGAUAUCAGCAAGACCAGGGAGGACCCACCAAUGCAGCCAAACCUGAAAAUCUUUCCACGGACCUUGACGGAGGACCGUAGGAGAAGUUUUAAGGCGGCGUGUCAAUCGGUAUCUGCAUAUUGUUAUGCUUGCAGACAUUUUAGCCAACCUAAAACCACAGACACUGUAUUUGAUGCACCAUCUGGAUACAAGAAGUGGAAGAAGGCAACGUACAGUUUUUCAAUCCAUGCCAAGUCUGAGAGGCACAAACCAGCAUGGAGGGACUAUCAAAUAAGUGUAACUACUAAUGCAACACUGGCGAAUGCCCUGAACAAGGACAAUAGGAGAAGUGCUACUACUUAAUGCCACUCAGAACAUUGCUCAGAGAGGACACAACGAGUCUGCUGCCUCAGAUAAUGAAGGGAACUUUAUGGCAAUUCUAGAAACAAUUGCUAACCAUGACAACACUGUGAAGUAAAGGUUGACAUCUAUUCAUAAAGUAAGGUACACAAGUAAAAUCAUUCAGAAUGAGAUUCUGGAUUGCCUGGCAGACAUGGUUCAACAUGAAAUUACAGAAGAAGUAAAAAGCAGUGGAGUCUUUAGCAUCAUAGCAGACGAAACAAAAGAUGUAAAAGAAAAAAAAGGAGCAAAUUUCAGUAGUACUCAGAUACUAUUACAAUGGAGCAAUUAAUGAAAGUUUUCUCCAUUUUGAAUCUGCUGAGAGGCUAGAUGCAGACGGGCUUAGUGAGAAAAUAAUCCACAUAUUGGAGAGUCAUGGUCUAGAAUACAAAAACAAUCUUGAUGGCCAGGCAUGCGAUAGUGCUGCUCAAAAUAUGCCCUUUACAUCCAUUGCAAUGCCCACUGUCUUAAUUUAGUUUUAGUAGAUACAGUCAAAGCUGUCCCAGAGGCAGAGGAAUUCUUCUCAUUGCUAGAAAAACUGUAUGUGUUCACUUGUGGAUCAUAUGUCCAACCCAAAUGGCUAGCGAUACAAAAAGACAUGUAUGAAGCUGCGCCAAGAGAGCUACAGCAAAUGAGUGACACACAAUGGGCAUGACGAUUUAUAUCGCUGCGAAGCAUUGUGGAUACAUUACCUGCCCUUAAGUGAGUGGUGCAAGAGAUAGCUCAAGAUCACAAAAGUGAAAGAUCUAUUGAGGCCCGAGGUCAACUGGCACAGAUAGACUUUGCUUUCAUAGUGCAUCUUGUGAUCCUCUGUAAAGUGUUUGGUGAAACAAAACUGUUGUCUGACAUGCCACAGUCAUCAUCACUUGAUAUUUCAAGAGCUGUUGAUUUAGUUAAUGCUUUGGUUCAGACAUUGAAUGACUUCAGGCAAAAGUCAUUUUUUGAUAACUUGUGGAAUGAAGUGUUGAACAUUCCUGAGCAAUGUGAUUCUGCAGUACAAGCAGCAACAAAACAUCCAAAAAAGCUAAGCUGUAAACUUGGUGAAUAUUGUGUUCUGACUAGUGUUGGUCAGAGAGAGUCAGAACAAGAUAAAGACUGUUUUUGGACAGCCUUUUUAUUACCCUGUCAUUGAUCAGAUGCUCAAUGAGCUCAACAAAUGAUUUUCAAAGACAAGCUGUGACAUUAUGAAUAGCAUCCAAGCUCUAAAUCCCCAAAGUGAUGCAUUUCUGAAUGAGACAACGCUGUUUUCAUUUGCUCGAUUGUAUGAUUCAAAUGUUGAUGACUUGGGGCACGAAUGCAAAGACCCUCUACUGUAGUGGAUCUGACACUGUUUAUUGAGCUGUAUCAAGAAGCAUUUUUUGAGCUCUUCAGACUCUGCAAAAUAGCAGUUGCAAUCCCAGUGAGUACUGUGUCUUGUGAGCGGGUUAGGGUUAGUUUUUCUACCCUAAAGCUGGUGAAAACCUUCCUUGGUUCAAACAUAACUGAUGGGAGAUAAAACAAUCUGGGUGUACUAAGUAUUGAGUCUAGGAGGGCAAAGGCUUUGAAUCUUGACCUAUUUUUUGAUCGGUUUGCCAAAAAUCACAUAAACCGCAGAAUACAGCUACUGUAAUAUAGAAUUUUACGAACAUACAGACUGGGAUACAGAGUCCCACUUUUACAGUGGAGCUGGUACUCAUAUUGUCACUGAAACAGGUAACAUUCUCUGAGAGAUUGAAAUAUUUUCAGCAAAGUAGAGUUAUAUUUUUUUAAAUAUUGUUACUGAAAAAAAUAUUAUAUCUGAAACAAGUGACUGUAACUGAGUUGAUUUAAAUUCUGCAGUAAAACUUUGAAAUACUCGAAGGCUGUCUUUGUCUUUUUUUUUUUCUCACAUAGAAUGUGCCUCUCUAACAAAGCAACUGGCCCCAGCCUGGUCCUCCUCUGAAGCUGGUCUAGAACCACCAGUGAAAGAUCUUCAAGAGUUGAACAUUUUCAGCAAGAGUAACAGGAGAUGUUCACCCUGGCUCAGUCACUUACAGAAUGAUCAAGGUUUAGGUCUGGGAGUCCAGAGUGGGCGGAGCUUCCCUGUUUAUCCAGCUGACCAUGGCUGAUUCAUCUGAUCAUGUCUGACUUAUCUGACUGUAGCAGCCUAGAG
Molecule: long non-coding RNA, 2887 nt
Organism: Epinephelus fuscoguttatus (brown-marbled grouper)
Lineage: Eukaryota; Metazoa; Chordata; Actinopteri; Perciformes; Serranidae
Exons: 3
Source: RefSeq, a predicted model, not a curated record